This 816-nucleotide unclassified non-coding RNA is filed under the name uncultured Lactarius. RNAcentral describes it as "sequence contains ITS1, 5.8S rRNA gene and ITS2". The stretch from base 238 to 391 matches the Rfam family "5.8S ribosomal RNA". Lineage: Eukaryota; Fungi; Basidiomycota; Agaricomycetes; Russulales; Russulaceae. The record is from RNAcentral.
AAGUCGUAACAAGGUUUCCGUAGGUGAACCUGCGGAAGGAUCAUUAUCGUACAACCGAGGUGCCAAGGGCUGUCGCUGACCCUCAAAGGUUGUGCACGCCCAAGCGCUCUCACACAUCCAUCUCACCCCUUUUGUGCAUCACCGCGUGGGCCCCCCUUUGCAGGAGGGCUUGCGUUUUCACACAAAACUUGAUACAGUGUAGAAUGUUUUUCUUUUGCAGUCACAUGCAAUCAAUACAACUUUCAACAACGGAUCUCUUGGCUCUCGCAUCGAUGAAGAACGCAGCGAAAUGCGAUACGUAAUGUGAAUUGCAGAAUUCAGUGAAUCAUCGAAUCUUUGAACGCACCUUGCGCCCCCUGGUAUUCCGAGGGGCACACCCGUUUGAGUGUCGUGAAAACCUCAACCUCCUUGGUUUCUUCUGGAGACCAAAGCAGGCUUGGACUUUGGAGGCCUUUGCUGGCACCUCUCGCCAGCUCCUCUUAAAUGAAUUAGCAGGGUCCUCUUUGCUGAUCCUCGACGUGUGAUAAGAUGUUUCCAUGUCUUGGUUUCUGGCUCUGUCACCUUUGGGACCCGCUUCUAACCGUCUUCAACCUUGCGUUGAGACAACGUUCGAGCAUGUCUCCCUUCUCGGGAAGCUCCCUCGACCCCACGAACCCUUGACCUCAAAUCGGGUGAGACUACCCGCUGAACUUAAGCAUAUCAAUAAGCGGAGGAAAAGAAACUAACAAGGAUUCCCCUAGUAACUGCGAGUGAAGCGGGAAAAGCUCAAAUUUAAAAUCUGGCGGUCUUUGGCCGUCCGAGUUGUAAUUUAGAGAA